Molecule: long non-coding RNA, 1274 nt
Filed under: Homo sapiens (human)
Lineage: Eukaryota; Metazoa; Chordata; Mammalia; Primates; Hominidae
Description: HSALNT0257402
Source: RNAcentral
CCGACCCGCAGGACCCACCAGGCCUGACGCAGGGGGCCAGGGACGCCCACGCUGGUCCCGACUGUCUGAGGCGCCUGCCGAGUUUAUUCCCAAGUCCCCAUGGAGAGUCAGGGGCCGUCCUGAGCCAUCUUCUGAGGUCCCGGGAGGGGUGGGCUCGGGAGGGGUUCGCCCGAGGGCUUUCCGAGCGCCGAAAGGGACGGCGUGCUGCGUGGUGGGUGCCUUGGGUUGGGGGGCUCCCCUGCUUGGCCUCCCACCCCUCUGGUUCCUGGCUCCUCCCCUCAUUCCUGGGAGUGGGGGUGGUGGCAGCUCGAUCCACCGGCUGGGAUAGGGCUGGGGAAGCAUGGUAUGGAUGGUUCAGUUGCAGGUGUCCGGGGGUGUGGCCCGGCAGGCCCCAUCCCAGGUAUGGCUGUGAGGGCCCGGGGGUGGCAGUCUGGGUCCCUGCCCUCUCCCACCCCGCGGGUGGGAUGGUCACCGGGGGGGCAGUCCCUGCGCUUGAGCCCUUGCUCCUCUUUCCACCGCCCACAUCGAUCAGCAGAUGGGGGUUGGGGGCGCGGUGGGAAGGAAGGUUGGCGACUUAGAUGCCAGAAAAACAGCUUCAGGCCGCGAGCGCCACCCUUGGCCUGUAGGGUGGAUCCGCUGGGCCUCUACCUGCUGGCUUCUCAGUCCGGCCGCCGGGUCCACCAGAUGUCGGCCAAGAGUGUAGGACUUGGCCACCAGCUUGAAAUAUUUAAGACGGACCAGAUGGCUCUCCUCGGCUGCAGAACCGCUAAGAUCCAGUAGAGGAUGCAUAAUCUCACCGCUGAACAUUCCUGACAGUGUGAUUAUGACAUAUGACUUUACCCAGCACCAGAGUGAGUUGGUGCUCCAGCCCUGGCCCAGCCCACAGAAGAGAUUGUGACAUAUCACUGGACCCAACACUGAGAUGUUGCCCAAAAAGAGAUUGUGACAUAACUUUGGGCCCAGCACCGAGGUGAUGUCUCCCCUCUCCUGCCUGGGGCUUGCCCACCGAAGAGAGAGUGACUUAUUGAUGAGUUCAGCACACAGGGAUUGUGUCAUAUCACUCUGUCAAGAACCUAGAUGAGGUGACUCUCCUCUCCAGCCUGGGACCUACAUACGUUGUGUAUUGAGACAUGUCACUGGCUUCAACACCUGGAUAACACAACUCUCCUGCAUGGGCCCUGCCCAUAGAGAUGUGAUUGUGACAUACACCUCUGCCCAGCACCUGAGUGAUUUGACUCUUCUGCCUGGGCCCAGUGUACAGAUGGGAUUGUGCC